Equus caballus (horse) is the source of this 2342-nucleotide long non-coding RNA. The record is from Ensembl. Lineage: Eukaryota; Metazoa; Chordata; Mammalia; Perissodactyla; Equidae.
UGUUGAACAGCUGAGCUGGUGCAGGCACCCUCCCCUCUUCCUGAUUUCGGUGGGAAAGUUUCUAAAGUUCCACCAAGUUUCAUUGCUUGCUCUGAAUUUAUGGCUGAAUAUAUGGCAGCGUCAAGUGGAGCCGAGAGGGAGGAGCAGCAGGAGCAGGAAGAAAAGGGGAGCUUGCAAAGCUUGCAGAGCUGGCCGGAAGGACCUGGCAGAAGUGGGGGGCCUGAUGUCCCUUUCGCAAAGCUCCCCAGGGAGGCUGUCUUGUAAGGGAUGCUUCCAUCGCUUGUCAUCUCAAGACUCCCCUGGGGAGGCAUGCAAGACAGCAUCUGCUAGAGUCCGCCAGCCAUGCGGGAAGCCUGUGGAAGGUGCUCCUCUCACCAUGACCCCAGCACUUUCCCUGGCUCUUCUCACCCAGCGUACUCUACCUUUGGCCUCCACUCUGCCAGCAGAACCUCCAUCGGCCUUGACCAGAACUCCACUAGGCCCUGUUGCCACGAGCUCAGCUCCAGGUCACUCCUGUUGGCCAUUUCCCAACUCAGGCCACGGCCGCGUGAGCUGUCGCAUUGAGUUCCUCUCCAGGUGGAACAUAAUCAAGGUCUUGCUCUUCCCUGUGUCAUCACACUUCGAGUCCCAGCAAGGGCACCUGUCCUGCCACUGACCAGUGGCCUCAUUCUGGGGAGGCCCCACAAAUAGGGAGGGAGAGACUGAUAGCCCCUCAGUUGCCAACCCUGAUGUCCAGAAGCUGCUCGAGACAGAAAUCACGGAAAGAAUACAAACGGAGGUCUGGGAAAAAGAACAAGAUGAUCCACACACUCCUCAGAUGCUCGAAGCACACACUAUCAUGUCUGGGCUGAAUUCACGCUGGGGCCUACCCCUCCUGUCUUUGGGGCCUGCAGAUCUGAAAGCAUGUGAGGCUCAACACUCGGCCCUUCCACGGUCCCCUUUUCCCCCCGCAGCCACCUGUGAUUCUGGGGCCCCCUCGAAAGCUGACUUUGCACACUUCAUGGGAAAACCUCUUGAGCCUCCUCCAGGUGACAAAGUCUUAACUUUGACAACAAAAGCAUCAGUUCCCAGCCUGGCCCAUCCCCUCCCUGCUCCCUCACCUGUGUGUGAGGAAAAUCAGAAGGCCCUGGGAGGGACCCUACCUGGCGAUGGCAGUGGGCCCUCAGAAGCCUCUCUCUUGGGACAGGAGGGCUGGCCGCCUUCUCCAACCUUCCCAUUCAGCCUCUCAGAGAGAAAAGGGCAGAGUGGGACCUUCGUGGGGGCCGAGCAAGGCCGUUGAGAGCUGACUUCAGGGUCAGCAGUGGCCAGGAAUGAGCCUCGGGAGGAGAGUAGGGGUGGGGCCUCACCAGAGCCCUGCCAUGGGGUGGCAACUCUGGAGGGGGAGUCAGGGUCCCAGUCUUGGAGCCAGGUCGGGGGAAUAGGAGACACCCUAGGGACCAAACCCCUCAAGCCCCUGCCUGAAAAGGAAGAGGUUUUUCAUGACAGCCCUUUCAGAAAAAUGUUGAGACGCCUCCUGCCCUGCCUGAGGCCCAACAAGGAUGAAGCACCAGAGGAUCCCCUUGCAAAGGCAAGCCCGCAUCAGCCACCGCUCAGAGCCGGGCACGGGUCACACACAGCUCGGCGUUGGAUGGCAGGGCUGUUCAGGAACCAUCGACAGUGACAUCCUUUGCAUCCUGGGAGAGAAACUGAGGCUUGCCGAGAACUUUUGGCCUCCCAGUUGAAGCAUCAUAAAAACCAUUUCAGGCCUGGGAAGCUGGACAUACCUGUUACCACGACGUUCCCUCCUCCCCAGAGCAGAGAAGAACAAUGACAGAGGACAGUCCCCAACCUACCUCCAGGAACCACAACUGUCCGACUACGAGGGAAUGGAUCAGAAUAGGCAUGGCAACUGGACCUUGCCAUCCAGGCAGCCGCGGUCCCCAGCCAAACCCUGCCAGCCUGUGCUAAGGGUGGCAGCUGCCUCAGCCAAUCCAUUACCCGCCAUGCUGUCCUCAGAUAUGUGUCUCCUGGGAUGAGUAGACUGUGUCUGACACACCUUUCCUCAUAGGAACGCUUAUCUCCCCAAAUGGGGAAGUGGAGGAACAGAAAACCUGGUUUUUCUCCUUAUCCCACCCUCUGUGCUAACGGUGUCUUCCUACCCCAGUUUUCCCCAAAUACGCUUUUUUUCUCCUUAGAGGUUGUGGCUUCUGUUUGUGCCCUGCUAGUGGCAAAAACGGGGUCAGGCUCCGCCCUUCCUGAGUGUCUGCUUUGGCUUCCAGAAGAGACAGGGCCAUGGGGGGAGGCUGACUGCAGAGUGGCUCACCUGACCUCUCCCCAACUCCCCCAUUGCACCUGAAGUUCCC